UCACCCUCCCAAAAAAGAUCAAUUUUUAAUGAUAAAGAUAUGUCUUAUAAUAAAGGGUUAUCACAUUAAACCUGAAACCAGUCUAAACCUAAACACACAAAUUACAGUUUUAUUACUGACAACGUAUUGAUAACUUAUAAUAUAGCAAUGUUAUAACUGGAACAAGUUGCAUUAACAAUCAAAAAAAGGGACUACAGAAAAAUUAAGGAUUAAAUGGACCGUCCUGUUGAGAGAACCCACCAAAGUAAUAAAAGAAAAUGGAAAAUGAAGAAAACGCCUUCCAUUAAAGGAAAUUAUAAUGAGGAAGUGCAAUAAAGGAUCUAGAAUGGCAAGAGUUUUUGGCAAGUAAAAGUAAUUUGAAAGAUGACAAUUGAGUAUAAACAGAAAACAAAAAUAUAAUAAAAGAGUAACUAUAAUGUCAGACAGGCCCAGCUAAAAUUAUUAGCUAGAAAAUAUCUUUGAAACUAAACAAAAUAUGAACAUAAAACAGUCAUCGCCAGGUACCAGAACAUAAAUUGACAGAAAUGAACAAGUGGAUACAUUUGAAAGGAUUAGUUUCUAAACUGUUGAUAGGACCUUCUUGGAACCUGUGGCAUAUGGAAUUAUCCAUACAAUCAGUUAAAACUUUUAGAAAAGAAGGCAUAUGGUAUUACAAACAAUUAACAAUUGAGAUGAAAAGAUGUGUCAUGGGUGAGACUCAAGCCAACGUUCAGAUCAGCCCUCGUUAUAUUUUGUCAUUGAUCCUCUGUGACUUGGUCUCUGAGAGUUCAUCUACUCAUUUCAACCUUAUAAAUAUAAAACUCUUUUUUUUUCCUUUUUUCUUUUAACAUCAUACUAAGCUUUUGGUAGUUGCUCGUACAAUCCACAAAAUUAUCAGUAGAUGGUGUAUAUAAACAGUUAAGAAAUGUGAGGAACGGAUGUGAAAGCCUGUCUUUUGGUCACUACUCCGAUUGUCACUGAGCCAUUGUGACUUCAGUCCCUGAGAGCAAAUCUUAUCUGAACUUAUAACUACUACAUUUACAACUCCUUUUUUUAAUUUAUUUGCCCUUAUACAAAAAUUGUGGCAUCUUACAGCUGUACGAUCCACACAAUUAACAGGAAGGAAACCAGGGGCCAGGCAGUUCAGUACUGCCAUUGAUGAUAAUGGCACAAUUGAAAUUAAAUUAUUCCCAAAUCAAAUCAACAAGUAACUUUUAACGUCAUCUGUAAAAUAAAAAGAUUCAUUUUAAAACUAAGUAAA
Molecule: long non-coding RNA, 1240 nt
Organism: Cimex lectularius (bed bug)
Lineage: Eukaryota; Metazoa; Arthropoda; Insecta; Hemiptera; Cimicidae
Exons: 5
Source: RefSeq, a predicted model, not a curated record